AAGCUUGCUUCUCUUGAGAGCGGCGGACGGGUGAGUAAUGCCUAGGAAUCUGCCUGGUAGUGGGGGAUAACGUUCGGAAACGGACGCUAAUACCGCAUACGUCCUACGGGAGAAAGCAGGGGACCUUCGGGCCUUGCGCUAUCAGAUGAGCCUAGGUCGGAUUAGCUAGUUGGUGAGGUAAUGGCUCACCAAGGCGACGAUCCGUAACUGGUCUGAGAGGAUGAUCAGUCACACUGGAACUGAGACACGGUCCAGACUCCUACGGGAGGCAGCAGUGGGGAAUAUUGGACAAUGGGCGAAAGCCUGAUCCAGCCAUGCCGCGUGUGUGAAGAAGGUCUUCGGAUUGUAAAGCACUUUAAGUUGGGAGGAAGGGCAGUUACCUAAUACGUGAUUGUUUUGACGUUACCGACAGAAUAAGCACCGGCUAACUCUGUGCCAGCAGCCGCGGUAAUACAGAGGGUGCAAGCGUUAAUCGGAAUUACUGGGCGUAAAGCGCGCGUAG
This 502-nucleotide ribosomal RNA is filed under the name Pseudomonas sp. Its description in RNAcentral is "bacterial SSU rRNA". It matches the Rfam family "Bacterial small subunit ribosomal RNA", at positions 76 to 574 of the family's 1533-position model. Lineage: Bacteria; Pseudomonadati; Pseudomonadota; Gammaproteobacteria; Pseudomonadales; Pseudomonadaceae. The record is from RNAcentral.